Molecule: small nucleolar RNA, 132 nt
Organism: Meriones unguiculatus (Mongolian gerbil)
Lineage: Eukaryota; Metazoa; Chordata; Mammalia; Rodentia; Muridae
Source: Ensembl
ACUGCCCCUAGAGGCAUUUACAGGUAUGACUGCUAUGUCACAUGUGUGUCGGUAGGUGGUAGAGAAGAGAGAGGCUAUGUCUACAUUCAGUGUCUGACCUGUGAACAUCUGAAUGGUUAAUAGCCUAACACU